GAUGAACGCUAGCGGCAGGCUUAACACAUGCAAGUCGAGGGGUAACAGGGGAAAGCUUGCUUUUUUGCUGACGACCGGCGCACGGGUGAGUAACGCGUAUAGAACCUACCUUUUACAGGGGAAUAGCCCAGAGAAAUUUGGAUUAAUACCCUAUAGUAUUAUUGAGUGGCAUCAUUUAAUAAUUAAACAUUUAUGGGUAAAAGAUGGCUAUGCGUUCUAUUAGCUAGAUGGUAAGGUAACGGCUUACCAUGGCAACGAUAGAUAGGGGUCCUGAGAGGGAGAUCCCCCACACUGGUACUGAGACACGGACCAGACUCCUACGGGAGGCAGCAGUGAGGAAUAUUGGACAAUGGAGGCAACUCUGAUCCAGCCAUGCCGCGUGCAGGAAGACGGCCCUAUGGGUUGUAAACUGCUUUUAUACGGGAAGAAACCCAACUACGUGUAGUUGGCUGACGGUACCGUAAGAAUAAGCACCGGCUAACUCCGUGCCAGCAGCCGCGGUAAUACGGAGGGUGCAAGCGUUAUCCGGAAUCAUUGGGUUUAAAGGGUCCGUAGGCGGGCUAAUAAGUCAGGGGUGAAAUCCAACAGCUUAACUGUUGAACUGCCUUUGAUACUGUUAGUCUUGAAUUAUAUGGAAGUAGAUAGAAUGUGUAGUGUAGCGGUGAAAUGCUUAGAGAUUACACAGAAUACCGAUUGCGAAGGCAGUCUACUACGUA
Molecule: ribosomal RNA, 716 nt
Filed under: Lutibacter sp.
Lineage: Bacteria; Pseudomonadati; Bacteroidota; Flavobacteriia; Flavobacteriales; Flavobacteriaceae
Description: bacterial SSU rRNA
Rfam family: Bacterial small subunit ribosomal RNA
Source: RNAcentral